RNAcentral lists this unclassified non-coding RNA (1059 nucleotides) under Homalodisca vitripennis (glassy-winged sharpshooter). RNAcentral's name for it is "uncharacterized LOC124366495, transcript variant X1". Lineage: Eukaryota; Metazoa; Arthropoda; Insecta; Hemiptera; Cicadellidae. The record is from RNAcentral.
GAUGUAUUAGUCAGAACUGAUUAUAAAGUGAGAUAAGUGUAAAAGUGUGACAGUCUCCAUAUGUGGAUAAUGAGAAGUAAUGGUUUGAAGCUCUAAAUCUGAUUUGUAAUAUCUGGCUGAUAGUGUGAUAGCAUUGAAAAUUCGAUAAGAUUUAGCUGUUGGUAUAUAAGAAUGAUCAACACAGUUAAAUAUGUUUGGACCUGUUAUAUUUUGAAUGGACCAAUUUUGAGCUUCGCUGCUCAUGAUAAAGAUUAUAUAUCAAGGAUUGAUCAUUUACUUUAUGAUAAAAUAACAAAUCCAGUUCCAGGAGAAGGUGACCAGAUUUUAGAUUCUAUUUAUAUUUUCAAUCAAGCCCUAAAUGAAACUAUUCAGGAUUUUAUGAAUGACCAGACGGGCCAAGACAUAGUGGACAUGUUGGUGGAACAGCAAGGUCCAAUAUGUAUAAAACUAUAUCCAGACGAUCACCACCUCAGGGAUGUGUUCGAUUGGGGAAUUCAAGAACUGGGGGAACUGUAUUAUCUUCUUAAUGCCACAAAAAUGCUAUGGAGAGACUUUCGAUAUUUCCUGGUGACCAAAAUGGGUUAUCAGAUAGAGCCCCUACCACGAUUUUUCACUACAACUGCUAAUUACACUGCCACUUAAAUAUUAUAUUUAUUUGUUUUUAAAAUGAUAAUUUUAUUCAAUCCAUUCAUCUUUUUAAUGGAUACAAUAGGAGUCUUCCCUAUUUGAAUAGUCCAAUAAUAUGAAAAGGAACACUCCUUGGUUCGUUAAUUUAUUUAUUACAUUAGCUUACAGAUCAACAAGUAAAUACAUAAUUAUUCACCAUCCAUUCCCGUAGAAUAAAGCAAGUGAAACUGAAGAUACAUUUUUUGUCCUAGAUGGUUGAGAUAUUUCUGGUGUUUGAUGUCAAAGAUAAGUCCCAAGAACUUCAAAUACCUAGUAUUUCACUUGUACAGAAUACAGAAUGCUUUAUUUACUUGAUUAUGGAAAACAGAAUGGUGUCAAAAAAGAAUAAAAUAUGUUUUGUGAUUUUUACAAUAAACUCAUUUUCUCUGAGAA